Molecule: ribosomal RNA, 274 nt
Filed under: uncultured bacterium
Lineage: Bacteria
Description: partial 16S ribosomal RNA
Rfam family: Bacterial small subunit ribosomal RNA
Source: RNAcentral
AUACGAAGGGGGCUAGCGUUGUUCGGAAUCACUGGGCGUAAAGGACGCGUAGGCGGGUUUGUAAGUCAGGUGUGAAAUCCUACAGCCCAACUGUAGAACUGCACUUGAAACUACAGACCUAGAGUAUGGAAGGGGCAGAUGGAAUUAGUGGUGUAGGGGUAAAAUCCGUAGAUAUCACUAGGAAUACCGAAAGCGAAGGCGAUCUGCUGGGACAUUACUGACGCUGAGGCGUGAAAGCGUGGGGAGCAAACAGGAUUAGAUACCCCAGUAGUCC